RNAcentral lists this ribosomal RNA (568 nucleotides) under uncultured archaeon. RNAcentral's name for it is "bacterial SSU rRNA". It matches the Rfam family "Archaeal small subunit ribosomal RNA", at positions 311 to 879 of the family's 1478-position model. The record is from RNAcentral.
CGCGAAUUCGCCCUUCGGGGUGCACCAGGCGCGAAAACUUUACAAUGCUGGCAACAGCGAUAAGGGGACCUCGAGUGCCAGGUUACAAAUCUGGCUGUCGUGAUGCCUAAAAAGCAUUGCAUAGCAAGGGCCGGGCAAGACCGGUGCCAGCCGCCGCGGUAACACCGGCGGCUCGAGUGGUAACCGUUAUUAUUGGGUCUAAAGGGUCUGUAGCCGGCCGGAUAUGUCUCUUGGGAAAUCUGGCAGCUUAACUGUCAGGCUUUCAGGAGAUACUGUCUGGCUCGAGGCCGGGAGAGGUGAGAGGUACUUCAGGGGUAGGGGUGAAAUCUUGUAAUCCUUGAAGGACCACCAGUGGCGAAGGCGUCUCACCAGAACGGACCUGACGGCAAGGGACGAAAGCUAGGGGCACGAACCGGAUUAGAUACCCGGGUAGUCCUAGCCGUAAACGAUACUCGCUAGGUGUCGGCCACGGUGCGACCGUUGUCGGUGCCGUAGGGAAGCCGUGAAGCGAGCCACCUGGGAAGUACGGCCGCAAGGCUGAAACUUAAAGGAAUUGGCGGGGGAGCAC